UACGAAGGGGGCUAGCGUUGUUCGGAAUUACUGGGCGUAAAGCGCGCGCAGGCGGUCCUUCAAGUCAGAGGUGAAAGCCCAGAGCUCAACUCUGGAACGGCCUUUGAGACUAGAGGACUUGGGUACGGGAGAGGUGAGUGGAAUUCCGAGUGUAGAGGUGAAAUUCGUAGAUAUUCGGAAGAACACCGGUGGCGAAGGCGGCUCUCUGGACCGAUACUGACGCUGAGGCGCGAAAGCGUGGGGAGCAAACAGG
This 253-nucleotide ribosomal RNA is filed under the name uncultured bacterium. Its description in RNAcentral is "partial 16S ribosomal RNA". It matches the Rfam family "Bacterial small subunit ribosomal RNA", at positions 524 to 776 of the family's 1533-position model. The record is from RNAcentral.